Molecule: long non-coding RNA, 541 nt
Filed under: Heterocephalus glaber (naked mole-rat)
Lineage: Eukaryota; Metazoa; Chordata; Mammalia; Rodentia; Bathyergidae
Description: lncRNA (ENSHGLG00100035090.1)
Source: RNAcentral
CUGGCAGGCCAGUGCCCACAGACACUUGGGAGGGGGGUCUCUGAGGCUGCCCAGUCCCCAUUCCCUUGGAAUACCUCAGCUUGUUGAGAGUUGGCUACCUUGUGGGCCUUUCUUGAGUUCCCCUCCCUUCUGCCUCCCUGUCACAUUCUCCCUCCACUCUUAAGCCUUUCUCUCCUCUCCUCCUCUGGCCUUUCCUUGCACCCCACAGGCAGAGGCAUACUUAGCGCGGAUGCGCCGGGCUCACCAGAACCGCACGUCCCUCUCAGAGGAGCAGUGGCGGGCAGCUGUGACAGCUGGGAGAAUCCUGGGGCCCCCAGAGGGCAGGGGUCAUGCACAGUGGGCAUCACAGGUGGAUGAGGCCCAGAGGCGGAUGGAUGCUGAGAUCUGGCAGCUCCUUGCCAGCUUUGCUGCCCACCCCCAACCCCAUUCCCAGGGGCUUCCUCCCUACUCCCAGCCUGCAGCUGCUCUUCGAGUGGCCCCUCCCUCUUCCUCCUCAUCCUCUUCUUCCUCUAGUCCUCUGUCUUCCCCUGCAGGCUCUAAG